RNAcentral lists this ribosomal RNA (482 nucleotides) under uncultured bacterium. Its description in RNAcentral is "partial 16S ribosomal RNA". It matches the Rfam family "Bacterial small subunit ribosomal RNA", at positions 28 to 507 of the family's 1533-position model. The record is from RNAcentral.
GAUGAACGCUAGCGGCAGGCCUAAUACAUGCAAGUCGGACGGGAUUCAGGAGCUUGCUUCUGAUGAGAGUGGCGCACGGGUGCGUAACACGUAUGUAACCUACCUUUAUCAGGGGGAUAGCCUCUCGAAAGAGAGAUUAAGCCCGCAUAAAAUCACAGCACAGCAUUGUGUAAUGAUCAAAUAUUUAUAGGAUAAAGAUGGGCAUGCGGAACAUUAGCUAGAUGGCGGGGUAACGGCCCACCAUGGCGACGAUGUUUAGGGGAUCUGAGAGGAUGGCCCCCCACACUGGUACUGAGACACGGACCAGACUCCUACGGGAGGCAGCAGUAAGGAAGAUUGGGCAAUGGGCGGAAGACUGAACCAGCCAUGCCGCGUGCAGGAAGACGGCCCUACGGGUUGUAAACUGCUUUUAUACGGGAAUAAACCCAGAUACGUGUAUCUGGCUGAAUGUACUGUAAGAAUAAGGAUCGGCUAACUCCGUG